Molecule: transfer RNA, 88 nt
Filed under: Thermofilum sp.
Lineage: Archaea; Thermoproteati; Thermoproteota; Thermoprotei; Thermofilales; Thermofilaceae
Description: tRNA-Gly
Source: RNAcentral
GCGGGGGUGCCCGAGCCAGGAUAAAGGGGGCGGUCGGCCCAUCCGCUGGCGUAGGCCUGCCCGGGUUCGAAUCCCGGCCCCCGCACCA